Molecule: ribosomal RNA, 301 nt
Filed under: uncultured bacterium
Lineage: Bacteria
Description: partial 16S ribosomal RNA
Rfam family: Bacterial small subunit ribosomal RNA
Source: RNAcentral
CAGUCGCCACGGUAAUACGGAGGGUGCAAGCGUUAAUCGGAAUUACUGGGCGUAAAGCGCACGCAGGCGGUCUGACAAGUCAGAUGUGAAAUCCCCGGGCUUAACCUGGGAACUGCAUUUGAAACUGUCAGGCUGGAGUCUUGUAGAGGGGGGUAGAAUUCCAGGUGUAGCGGUGAAAUGCGUAGAGAUCUGGAGGAAUACCGGUGGCGAAGGCGGCCCCCUGGACAAAGACUGACGCUCAGGUGCGAAAGCGUGGGGAGCAAACAGGAUUAGAUACCCGGGUAGUCCCUGUCUCUUAUAC